Molecule: ribosomal RNA, 476 nt
Filed under: Stenotrophomonas maltophilia
Lineage: Bacteria; Pseudomonadati; Pseudomonadota; Gammaproteobacteria; Lysobacterales; Lysobacteraceae
Description: bacterial SSU rRNA
Rfam family: Bacterial small subunit ribosomal RNA
Source: RNAcentral
UGGCUCAGAGUGAACGCUGGCGGUAGGCCUAACACAUGCAAGUCGAACGGCAGCACAGGAGAGCUUGCUCUCUGGGUGGCGAGUGGCGGACGGGUGAGGAAUACAUCGGAAUCUACUCUGUCGUGGGGGAUAACGUAGGGAAACUUACGCUAAUACCGCAUACGACCUACGGGUGAAAGCAGGGGACCUUCGGGCCUUGCGCGAUUGAAUGAGCCGAUGUCGGAUUAGCUAGUUGGCGGGGUAAAGGCCCACCAAGGCGACGAUCCGUAGCUGGUCUGAGAGGAUGAUCAGCCACACUGGAACUGAGACACGGUCCAGACUCCUACGGGAGGCAGCAGUGGGGAAUAUUGGACAAUGGGCGCAAGCCUGAUCCAGCCAUACCGCGUGGGUGAAGAAGGCCUUCGGGUUGUAAAGCCCUUUUGUUGGGAAAGAAAUCCAGCUGGCUAAUACCCGGUUGGGAUGACGGUACCCAAAGA